This 490-nucleotide ribosomal RNA is filed under the name uncultured bacterium. Its description in RNAcentral is "bacterial SSU rRNA". It matches the Rfam family "Bacterial small subunit ribosomal RNA", at positions 28 to 507 of the family's 1533-position model. The record is from RNAcentral.
GAUGAACGCUAGCUACAGGCUUAACACAUGCAAGUCGAGGGGCAGCAUGAACUUAGCUUGCUAAGUUUGAUGGCGACCGGCGCACGGGUGAGUAACACGUAUCCAACCUGCCGAUGACUCGGGGAUAGCCUUUCGAAAGAAAGAUUAAUACCCGAUGGCAUAGUUCUUCCGCAUGGUGGAACUAUUAAAGAAUUUCGGUCAUCGAUGGGGAUGCGUUCCAUUAGGUUGUUGGCGGGGUAACGGCCCACCAAGCCUUCGAUGGAUAGGGGGUUCUGAGAGGAAGGUCCCCCCACAUUGGAACUGAGACACGGUCCAAACUCUUACGGGAGGCAGCAGUGAGGAAUAUUGGUCAAUGGACGAGAGUCUGAACCAGCCAAGUAGCGUGAAGGAUGACUGCCCUAUGGGUUGUAAACUUCUUUUAUAAGGGAAUAAAGUGGGAGUCGUGACUCUUUUGCAUGUACCUUAUGAAUAAGGACCGGCUAAUUCCGUG